GCUUCUUCAGUCAAUAGUUGUAGAGUGACAUGCCAUCAUAGUGUUAGGAAUCAAUUAUUGGUAAUUAGGUGAGGGAUACACGCGUGUAAAAAAAGUGUAAUCCAGUAAAACUUCCUUUUAACUUGGAACCAACUAACUUUUCCUUGUGUAUAGUUUUAUGUAUGGAGAUGUACAGACAUUUUCUAUUAUAAGAAGGUUUCCGUCUUAAAAAGUAUCCUUUGAAGAAGGUUUUACUGAAUAUAAUAAUAAUAAUAAUAACAAACAAUAAUAAUUAUAUAUAUGUACAUAUUGAUUUUUCGGCGGAUACUUUACUUUUAUG
Molecule: non-coding RNA, 319 nt
Organism: Cinara cedri
Lineage: Eukaryota; Metazoa; Arthropoda; Insecta; Hemiptera; Aphididae
Source: the annotation of a GenBank genome assembly